GGCCCGCGGCUCAUGCGCGGUGCACCGAGGCUUGUUUCACAUCUGUAACAACAGGGCCUGCAGGAAGCCCCCGGAGUGCCCUGGGACCUUUGUCUGCCCCCGUGCCGCCUGAACCGUUCGUCCACAAAAAGGCUUGGUGUAUUCUGGCCCCCCUGGUUUGCCCCCUUUUGCACCGACCUUGUCACUGGGGGAGGCCAAGGGGAGGAGGCCCAGCCUCGUGAUGAGGAAUAGCAAAGAGAGAAUUCAGCUCCAGUUCAAAAGCCCACAAAAUCUGAGACUGUCACUGCUCUUGUAAGGAUUCCAGCUUUCCCUCCUGGCCAGAAAUGUUCAGCCUGGACUCAUUCAGAAAAGAUCGGGCCCAGCACAGGCAGCGUCAGUGCAAACUUCCCCCACCCCGUCUUCCACCCAUGUGUGUCAACCCUGCCCCUGGAGGGACCAUUUCUCGAGGUCUGCUAAGACCAGUGCUCCUGGCGGCCUCUUGUCCUGACAGCUGCUCUUCCCAACUCCAUUGGCCACCUGUUCACACCCCUCCCUCAGUUUUUUAGUGGAAGAACACUAUUAUAGUUCAUAGAGUCUUUGCCUUAUUUGGAGACAG
Molecule: long non-coding RNA, 595 nt
Organism: Physeter macrocephalus (sperm whale)
Lineage: Eukaryota; Metazoa; Chordata; Mammalia; Artiodactyla; Physeteridae
Exons: 6
Source: RefSeq, a predicted model, not a curated record